This is an RNA transcript of Panicum virgatum (switchgrass), 4671 nucleotides long. It is a transcript of the gene named U-box domain-containing protein 12-like, with no coding region annotated. The transcript is spliced from 9 exons. The record is from RefSeq and is a predicted model, not a curated record. NCBI's taxonomy places the organism in Eukaryota, Viridiplantae, Streptophyta, Magnoliopsida, Poales, Poaceae.
GGAGGGAAUAGGAAUAGGAAUACUGGCUAGAGGAGGAGAGGAGAGGGCGAGAGGCGAGACAGGUGAGGGCGGCGGCGGCGUCAUUCAAUUCAAUUCAAUUCAAUUCAAUUGCUUCGGAUCUGAUCUCGAUUUCGCUCCCGCACCGCCGUCCGCCGGCCGUCUAUCACCCACCACGGCUGCGGCAGAGGCCAUGCCUGCGCGUGUGGCGGCGGAGAUCGCCGCGCUCCCGGAGCCGCGCGGGCCCAUGCGCCGCCUCUGCGGCGACCUCGCGCGCCGCAUCCGCCUCCUCGCGCCCCUCCUCCAGCAGCUCCAGGGCGCCUUGCCUCUCGCCGACGCACUCGGGGCAGCGCGCGACCUCCUCCGCGCAGUUCACGACGGCAGCAAGAUCUACCAGGCGAUGCGGGGGGAUGGCCUGCUCGACCGCUUCGCAAGCGUCAACAGGCAGAUUCAGCUGGCCCUGGAUGCCUUGCCUUACCACACCUUCGACAUGCCUGAAGAAGUGCAGGAGCAGGUCGCGCUUGUGCAUUCUCAGUUCAAAAGGGCUGCCACCAGAACGGAUCCACCAGACGUGCAGCUUUCAAAGGAUAUAUCCUCCGCCCUCGCUGACAAGACCUUUGACCCUCUGGUUUUCACAAGGAUCUCAGAGAAGCUGCAAUUGCAGACCAUGGCCGAUAUCAAGAAAGAAUCCGUCGCCCUGCACGAGAUGGUCAUCUCCAGUGGCGGCGAACCUGAUGGCUGCGUCGAGGAGAUGUCUUCCUUGCUCAAGAAGCUCAAAGACUGUGUCAUCACUGAAAAAGCUCCCACACCAGAGACACUCACCGCCAGGUCUGCCUCCAUAAAGCACACAUCUCCAAUCAUCCCCGAUGAAUUCAGAUGCCCGAUAUCCCUUGAGCUCAUGCAAGACCCUGUCAUCGUCUCCAGCGGACAGACAUACGAGCGAUCAUGCAUCCAGAAAUGGCUUGAUUCUGGACAUAAGACAUGCCCUAAGACGCAGCAGCCUCUCUCACAUACCUCACUGACACCAAACUUCGUCCUCAAAAGCCUAAUAGCUCAGUGGUGUGAAGCCAACGGCAUUGAGCUUCCAAAGAACAAGGCAAAUUCCAGAGAUAGGAAAUCAGCAAAAAGCUCUGACUAUGACCAUGCUGGUCUAGUCUCACUAAUGACCAGGCUGAGGGGUGGGAACCAAUAUGAGCAGCGGGCUGCUGCUGGUGAGAUCCGUUUGCUUGCAAAGAGAAAUGUCAACAACCGGAUAUGCAUUGCCGAAGCAGGAGCAAUUCCCUUGCUUGUCAAUCUACUCUCCUCUUCGGAUCCAAGAACGCAGGAACAUGCUGUCACUGCGCUCCUUAACCUCUCCAUCCAUGAGAACAACAAGGCAAGCAUUGUGGCCUCUCAUGCUAUCCCUAAGAUUGUGGAAGUGCUUAAAACUGGGAGCAUGGAAGCCAGAGAGAACGCAGCCGCUACACUAUUCAGCUUGUCAGUUGUUGAUGAAAACAAGGUUACAAUUGGUGGUGCUGGUGCAAUACCUCCACUCAUUAAUCUUCUGUGCGAUGGGAGCCCAAGAGGCAAGAAAGAUGCAGCAACAGCAAUUUUUAAUCUGUGCAUAUAUCAGGGAAAUAAGAUCCGAGUAGUCAAAGCUGGAAUUGUCAUCCAUCUGAUGAACUUCUUGGUGGAUCCUACUGGGGGAAUGACUGAUGAGGCACUCACUCUUCUGGCUAUCCUUGCUGGUAACCCUGAAGCCAGGGCUGUAAUUGCGCAGUCAGAUCCAAUCCCCCCACUUGUAGAGGUAAUUAAAACAGGGUCUCCUCGCAACAGAGAGAACGCUGCAGCCAUUCUGUGGUCGCUUUGUUGUGCUGAUGUUGAGCAAACGAGGGCUGCAAAAGCUGCUGGAGCGGAGGAUGCACUCAAGGAACUGUUGGAGUCUGGCACGGACCGUGCAAAGAGAAAAUCUUCUAGCAUUCUGGAACUCAUGCGGCAAGCUGAAGAAGCAUGAACCUGACCAUUGUAGAUUUUCUGAAUUGAGGUUCCAUGCAUGCAAAUCCAUUCCCCUUUAUGGAACAUUUCAAUACGCUUAGAACCGGGAAAUCCGGAUUGAAGCUUCAGUUGCAUAAUAAGAGAAAGGAAACAUUAAGUUUUUUGAUGGCUCUGCUCAUUGGUUGGUACUUUGGUGGCUUCAUUUGAAGUUUGUCAAAUUGGUCGAGUUAUUGUCAGGAUAGAUCUAAAGUAUGUGACAGUGGGUCCAUGACAAGGUAGACGAAACAAUUCAUACUUUCAGAGGCCACUAGGAUGCCAACAGGUGAUGCCGUCUGUUUUUCAGAGGCUGAGGUGAAGUCUUAAGAAGAAAUGACAUCAUAUUUGAUACGUGGUUCCUCCUCGUGUGCAAUGGCAAGCACAAAUAUGAAUGGGCAGACAAGGUUAUAAUGUUCCAACCCAUGUUUCUUCUCUUUGGCAACUGAAUUUUGCAUCAACUAGCUUAUGAGCCUGGACCAGACAAAAUGAGAAUGUCAAAGAAGACGCCAUGCUUGACAUAUUCAUACUCAAUGGACUUUUUGUCUGCAUAUGAUAUAGUAGCCUAAAGGAGGGGUAAUGUUGAUCUGCCGAUCUGGUGCCUUCCAAUUUAAACUUUAGAUCUCAUUACCUGCGGAUGCACUAAAAAAUGAUCGAAAUUAUUGGCAACCAAAUUAUACGGGAGUCUCAAGCCAUAUGAUUUUAGUUCUGUAACUUCCUACUUCCUGUAACCUCAAAGUAAGAAAGUCAGAUGAGUCAUUCUUCUCACUAUUAUUCUUGCCCAUAUAAUUUCACAUUGUUUGCUAACAAGCACGGAAGCAACUAAAAUGCGAAGGCUUUUUCAUAGUUUAGGCUAAGAAUUGUCACGAGCACGGGCAAAAUUAUUUUUAUCACCCGUAGCAACGCAUGGGCACGGACCUAGUAUGAUAUAAAGUAGCUAGUGAGACAGGUACAGAAGUAUAACAAUAAAAAUAAGCCUUCCCCUGCAGUAUAACAGUACACAGUAACAUGCCGCAGCCCAGGGGCACCGUUCCUCUGCAUGCAUCACAUGGCCAACCUAAGCAGCGCAAAGGACAGCGUUCCAACUAAUCAUGCUUGCUCUUAUCAUUUGCUUGCUUAAUCUGUCUCAUAUCAUCUGUCUUUGAUCCCUUUAAAUCAAUAAUCAAUAGGUGCAUCUAGCUAGUGUGAUGACACAGCUUCUAUCUAAUCCUUUUGCUUAAGCUGCUAAACAAAUAUGCAAGUUGGUUGAGGAGAUCUAAAAUGCUACUGCCCUGCAGCAGUAGUGUUCAACUUUGACCGCAACUGCAUGCACCUAAUCACGAUUCUUAUACCUGUUACAACCAGAACAUCCAUUGUGAUAUUAUUCUAUCUCCACAUGUGAUGUUUAACUAAGGCAAAUUCCAGCUUAGCUUUGACGUUGCCCACCAUGUUGCUACAAUCAUAUGAUAGAUGAUACUGAUCCAUCUCUUGGGAUCCUAUGUCUGAUAUGAUCACAAGCGUUGGUUCAUUCCCACUUGUUUGAUCUCAGCCGUUGAUUGCCUAACUAAAUCGACCUGUUUCUGCUUGUAAUAAAUCCUUAUAAACACUGCCCAUGUGCAGAGGAUGCAAUAAAAGUAAGGUGUUUGGGGUUGCAGCAACGAGUCUCAGCCCUGAGGUGGCAUUAGGAUGGGUCAUAUUGCCGAGCCUGCCGGCCCUGUAGUGAUCGGCUGCAAAGUGCUGCCGAUCUUCAAUGAGCAUGGCAUAGUUGAGGGUGCAAUGAAGAAGAUGGUGCACAGGAUCGACGGCAAGAAGGCAGUUGCACGGGUUAAGGAGCUUCUGAAGCUGGCUGCUCAGGCCAGGCCUCAUGGCGCCACUGUCAGUGGCAAGAAAUGGAAGAAGGUUCUGAGCUUCCACGCAAGGGACGGAGCUGCAGCCGGAACAGCUGCAAAGGGAGGGCGCCAGCAGAAACAGAAGCAGGAGGAGGCGAGUGACGAGAUGAGCUGCAGCUCGAGCAAGCUGAGCUUCAAGUGGGACGUGGGCAGCUGCUCAUCAGCGUCGUCGGUUGCAUAUUCACCGUUGUCGUUGAUGUCGGCGCCGGCAAAGGUGUCAGAGCAGACGCCAUCUAGGAGAGACUACUACAUGUCGAGGUUGUCGUCCAUGAGCCAGCAGAGUAUGCUGUACGGCGGUGGCGGCAGCAGCAGCCCAAAUAGCAUGAAGAACAUGGAAGGAGAGGAGGAGGGCAGCUGCAGGAUGGGGCAGUGGAUCACCACGGAUUCAGAUUUUGUGGUGUUAGAGCUGUACUGGCAUAACCUAAUUAAUGUUGAUCCAUCAAGGAAGAUGUGAGCAGAGGCGGCGAGGCAGCAACGGUUGGCGCAGCAACAGCAAGCCUCUCUCUUUCUCAGUUUCUCGUGAAGAUGGGUUGAACAGCUGCCCCAUUCAUUUCCCAUUUGGCGUCUCGUACUCGAUAGGGCCGGGAUUGGUUGACUGAGCAUGCAACAGCAUUAUUCUGAGUUCCUGACGUACGGAUACUACUGUAUAUGCUGUUGCCUUGCUCUUUUCAUGUAUGAAACCGAAAUUGGGAUGGUACGGUGGUUGGUUCUUGACACAUGACUGUUUGUUAACAGACUCAGACUGCAGCAUAUGUUACUUACCGUCGUCCCAUUUAUUGAUUCCGCUUCUUUGAAACAA